CGAAGGAUGCAAGCGUUAUCCGGAUUCAUUGGGUUUAAAGAGUGCGUAGGCGGACUGAUAAGUCAGUGGUGAAAUCUCUCAGCUUAACUGAGAAACUGCCAUUGAUACUGUUAGUCUAGAGUAUAGAUGACGUUGGCGGAAUAUGACAUGUAGUGGUGAAAUACUUAGAUAUGUCAUAGAACACCGAUUGCGAAGGCAGCUAACGAAACUAUAACUGACGCUGAGGCACGAAAGUGCGGGGAUCAAACAGGAUUAGAUACCCUGGUAGUCCGCACCGUAAACGAUGAUUACUCGUUGUUGGCGAUAUGACAGUCAGCGACCAAGCGAAAGCGAUAAGUAAUCCACCUGGGGAGUACGCCGGCAACGGUG
RNAcentral lists this ribosomal RNA (369 nucleotides) under uncultured organism. RNAcentral's name for it is "bacterial SSU rRNA". It matches the Rfam family "Bacterial small subunit ribosomal RNA", at positions 526 to 896 of the family's 1533-position model. The record is from RNAcentral.